ACUAACAAGGAUUCCCCUAGUAACUGCGAGUGAAGCGGGAAAAGCUCAAAUUUAAAAUCUGUCAGUCUUUGGCUGUCCGAGUUGUAAUCUAGAGAAGUGUUAUCCGCGCUGGACCGUGUACAAGUCUCCUGGAAUGGAGCGUCAUAGAGGGUGAGAAUCCCGUCUUUGACACGGACUGCCAGGGCUUUGUGAUGCGCUCUCAAAGAGUCGAGUUGUUUGGGAAUGCAGCUCAAAAUGGGUGGUAAAUUCCAUCUAAAGCUAAAUAUUGGCGAGAGACCGAUAGCGAACAAGUACCGUGAGGGAAAGAUGAAAAGAACUUUGGAAAGAGAGUUAAACAGUACGUGAAAUUGCUGAAAGGGAAACGCUUGAAGUCAGUCGCGUUGACCAGGGAUCAACCCUUGCUUUUGCUUGGUGUACUUUCUGGUUGACGGGUCAGCAUCAAUUUUGACUAUUGGAAAAAGAUCAGGGGAAUGUGGCAUCUUUGGAUGUGUUAUAGCCUCUGGUUGUAUACAAUGGUUGGGAUUGAGGAACUCAGCACGCGCCGCAAGGCCGGGUUUUUAACCACGUACGUGCUUAGGAUGCUGGCAUAAUGGCUUUAAUCGACCCGUCUUGAAACACGGACCAAGGAGUCUAACAUGCCUGCAAGUGUUUGGGUGGAAAACCCGAGCGCGUAAUGAAAGUGAAAGUUGAGAUCCCUGUCGUGGGGAGCAUCGACGCCCGGACCAGAUCUUUUGUGACGGUUCCGCGGUAGAGCAUGUAUGUUGGGACCCGAAAGAUGGUGAACUAUGCCUGAAUAGGGUGAAGCCAGAGGAAACUCUGGUGGAGGCUCGUAGCGAUUCUGACGUGCAAAUCGAUCGUCAAAUUUGGGUAUAGGGGCGAAAGACUAAUCGAACCAUCU
Molecule: ribosomal RNA, 898 nt
Filed under: Cortinarius carneipallidus
Lineage: Eukaryota; Fungi; Basidiomycota; Agaricomycetes; Agaricales; Cortinariaceae
Description: eukaryotic LSU rRNA
Rfam family: Eukaryotic large subunit ribosomal RNA
Source: RNAcentral